AAGUCGUAACAAGGUUUCCGUAGGUGAACCUGCGGAAGGAUCAUUAAUGAGAUAGGGUCCUUCGGGGCCCGACCUCCAACCCUUUGUCUACAAUCCACUGUUGCCUCGGCGAGCCGCCGGCGCUUUGAUCGGCGUCGCCUUUGGCCUUGUGCCUCUGCGUGCUCGCCGCCAGGCCCCUUUAAAACCCUUGAAACUAAGCAAUCUGAGAAACAUUUAAUACUUCAAAA
This 227-nucleotide unclassified non-coding RNA is filed under the name plant metagenome. Its description in RNAcentral is "partial contains small subunit ribosomal RNA and internal transcribed spacer 1". The stretch from base 1 to 46 matches the Rfam family "Eukaryotic small subunit ribosomal RNA", at positions 1786 to 1831 of the family's 1831-position model. The record is from RNAcentral.